GGUGGCAUGUGCCGUAAUCCAAGUCACUGGGAGCUGAGGUUGGUGGAUCAAGUGAGCUGAGGAGCUCGGGCUGCAGCACACUAUGUUGAACGGGUGUCCACGCGAAGUUCGGUAUCGAUAUGGUGUUCCUGGGGGAGCCGGGCCCCACCAGGUUGUCUAAGGAGGGGUGAAACCGCCCAGGUCGGAACGAAGCAGGUCAAAUCCCCCGUGCUGUCCCAGUAGUGGGAUAAUACCUGUGAGUAGAUGCGCAGUGCAGCCUUUGCAAAACAUCGAACCUAAUCUUUC
This 285-nucleotide signal recognition particle RNA is filed under the name Oncorhynchus kisutch (coho salmon). RNAcentral describes it as "Metazoan signal recognition particle RNA (ENSOKIG00005022864.1)". It matches the Rfam family "Metazoan signal recognition particle RNA". From Rfam's summary of the family: The signal recognition particle (SRP) is a universally conserved ribonucleoprotein. It is involved in the co-translational targeting of proteins to membranes. The record is from RNAcentral. Lineage: Eukaryota; Metazoa; Chordata; Actinopteri; Salmoniformes; Salmonidae.